This 305-nucleotide ribosomal RNA is filed under the name bacterium enrichment culture DGGE band TBA-8. RNAcentral describes it as "bacterial SSU rRNA". It matches the Rfam family "Bacterial small subunit ribosomal RNA", at positions 511 to 815 of the family's 1533-position model. The record is from RNAcentral.
GCAGCCGCGGUAAUACGUAGGGUGCAAGCGUUAAUCGGAAUUACUGGGCGUAAAGCGUGCGCAGGCGGUUGUGUAAGACAGAUGUGAAAUCCCCGGGCUCAACCUGGGAACUGCAUUUGUGACUGCACAGCUAGAGUACGGUAGAGGGGGAUGGAAUUCCGCGUGUAGCAGUGAAAUGCGUAGAUAUGCGGAGGAACACCGAUGGCGAAGGCAAUCCCCUGGACCUGUACUGACGCUCAUGCACGAAAGCGUGGGGAGCAAACAGGAUUAGAUACCCUGGUAGUCCACGCCCUAAACGAUGUCAA